GGCCUCGGUGACCAACGGGAUGGUGGUCUUGCGGCGGCCACCGAACAGGAUGGCGGAGAGUUCCACGCCCUCGGGGCUG
This 79-nucleotide transfer RNA is filed under the name Paenarthrobacter ureafaciens. RNAcentral describes it as "tRNA-Arg". Lineage: Bacteria; Bacillati; Actinomycetota; Actinomycetes; Micrococcales; Micrococcaceae. The record is from RNAcentral. RNAcentral also lists the same sequence under 2 other names.